This 468-nucleotide ribosomal RNA is filed under the name uncultured bacterium. RNAcentral describes it as "partial 16S ribosomal RNA". It matches the Rfam family "Bacterial small subunit ribosomal RNA", at positions 28 to 507 of the family's 1533-position model. The record is from RNAcentral.
GACGAACGCUGGCGGCGUGCUUAACACAUGCAAGUCGAACGGAAAGGCCCUGCUUUUGUGGGGUGCUCGAGUGGCGAACGGGUGAGUAACACGUGAGUAACCUGCCCUUGACUUUGGGAUAACUUCAGGAAACUGGGGCUAAUACCGGAUAGGAGCUCCUGCUGCAUGGUGGGGGUUGGAAAGUUUCGGCGGUUGGGGAUGGACUCGCGGCUUAUCAGCUUGUUGGUGGGGUAGUGGCUUACCAAGGCUUUGACGGGUAGCCGGCCUGAGAGGGUGACCGGCCACAUUGGGACUGAGAUACGGCCCAGACUCCUACGGGAGGCAGCAGUGGGGAAUAUUGCACAAUGGGCGGAAGCCUGAUGCAGCAACGCCGCGUGCGGGAUGACGGCUUUCGGGUUGUAAACCGCUUUCGCCGGUGACGAAGCGUGAGUGACGGUAAUGGGUAAAGAAGCACCGGCUAACUACGUG